This 434-nucleotide ribosomal RNA is filed under the name uncultured bacterium. RNAcentral describes it as "partial 16S ribosomal RNA". It matches the Rfam family "Bacterial small subunit ribosomal RNA", at positions 29 to 507 of the family's 1533-position model. The record is from RNAcentral.
ACGAACGCUGGCGGCAGGCUUAACACAUGCAAGUCGAACGCAUGCCUUCGGGCAUGAGUGGCAGACGGGUGAGUAACGCGUGGGAACCUACCCCUUGGUACGGGAUAGCUCCGGGAAACUGGAGAUAAUACCGUAUGUGUCCUGAGGGACAAAGAUUCAUCGCCAAGGGAUGGGCCCGCGUCGGAUUAGCUAGUUGGUGGGGUAACGGCCUACCAAGGCGACGAUCCGUAGCUGGUCUAAGAGGAUGAUCAGCCACAUUGGGACUGAGACACGGCCCAAACUCCUACGGGAGGCAGCAGUGGGGAAUAUUGGACAAUGGGCGCAAGCCUGAUCCAGCCAUGCCGCGUGAGUGAUGAAGGCCUUAGGGUUGUAAAGCUCUUUCACCGGUGACGAUAAUGACGGUAACCGGAGAAGAAGCCCCGGCUAACUUCGUG